GUGAAGGCAUCCACCAGCCCUGUUGCAUAUGAGAAACUUAAGAAUAUUCUUCUCAAAGAUGAAGAUAUCGUUCAUGCCUUUCGGAAACAGGAG
Xenia sp. Carnegie-2017 is the source of this 93-nucleotide long non-coding RNA. RefSeq lists it as uncharacterized. Lineage: Eukaryota; Metazoa; Cnidaria; Anthozoa; Malacalcyonacea; Xeniidae. The transcript is spliced from 2 exons. The record is from RefSeq and is a predicted model, not a curated record.